This is a small nuclear RNA of Dendrobium catenatum, 103 nucleotides long. The record is from RefSeq and is a predicted model, not a curated record. Lineage: Eukaryota; Viridiplantae; Streptophyta; Magnoliopsida; Asparagales; Orchidaceae.
GCGAAUAUCAUUACUUCUAUCAAUAUUGGAACGAUAAAUAAGAGAUUAGCAUGCCCCCUGAGCAUGGAUGACACGCAUAAAUCGAGAAAUGGUCCAAAUUUCU